Molecule: long non-coding RNA, 11706 nt
Filed under: Triticum aestivum (bread wheat)
Lineage: Eukaryota; Viridiplantae; Streptophyta; Magnoliopsida; Poales; Poaceae
Description: long non-coding RNA (TAES_LNC000419)
Source: RNAcentral
GGAGUCGGUGGCGCAGUCGAUCGCCGGCACCACGCUGCUCGAGUUUCCCCAGAUCUCCGCCGUCCGGGUGAAGGUCGGGAAGCCCCACGUCGCGGUGCAGGGCGUCGUCGACUACCUCGGGGUGGAGAUACUGAGGAGGCGCAGAGAGGCAUGAGCACAAGAACCGGAGUACCUCAUAUGAGAAGCCUGAACAGAGUUGAUCUCAGUUGAGCCCAUCGAUCCCUGUGUCUUAUAUCUAUCAAUCUAUGUAUGUAUGGACAUGAUGUUUGUCUGCGCUCAAUAAUUUCUGAAUUGGGAAUCAUGUUCUUGCCUGCAUAGAGUUUCUGAAUGUUCUUUUCCAAACAAAAAGAAAUCCACUUUGUGAAGUGUAUACAACACAGGAGAGAGCAUCAUAAACCAGUGUGGAUCUCAGUCCUUGUGAACAAUCAGGCAUUGGACCUAGAGCAUGUUAAACCGCUGUCCCGUAACUGAACCGAAGAGUAACAAUUAACCAUGGGCGUCCUUCUCCUGGUCUUGAUGUCGGGUGCAGCGCAAUGAUUUGGCGACAUGUUACUGAGCUAUCGAUCUUUAGCUAGCUAGCUUCACCAUUUAUACUGGGAGUUUGCAGCUAGAUCAUACCAUUUUAGCCAUGUAGUCAUGCAUAUAUCAUUUGGACAUCUCCGUCUCGUUUUGUGAUAUUUUUUACGUACUUUCACCUAACUGGCAUGAAGGGCCUUCCAUCUUACAUGAAGUAAACAUGUAAAAAUGAUAUGGGUGGCGGUUUCUAGGUUCGGUCUCCGCACGGACUAUGAUCUGUCAAAACAGAUCCCCACUUGUGCCAGCUGCGGUUGCCUUGGCCGGUUGGCCCUGGUGGGCUGUACUGUAGGUUCCAGUUCAUACCAGAUUAUAAUAGAACAUCACACUAUAUCCCAGAAAAGAAACUUGUUAUAACAUAGGGCACAAAACUUGGAAAUUAAUUUUUCAUGAAGAAAACAUAUAAGAGACAUUGAUUGCGUUUAUGAAAUAUAACUAAAACAUAGGAAUAUUAUUGAAAAUAGCUGAAACUUUGAAAUAAUUAAAUGUUUCUGAAACUAUUUCCAAAACAGUGUAAAAUCUCUACUUUGUUAGGUCUACAGUACCGGAGAGAGCAUCAUAAACCGACCAGAUCUGAACUCAGAGAGUCCUGGUCAUGCUGUUGCGUCACCUGCAUGUGUUUGGAUGGAUCUAUGUGGAGUAUCGAAACCGGUGUCGAUCUCAGCUUCUACUGACCCAUUACGACUGAAUUCUUAGCAUGCUCCUCUGAUUUUAGGUUUUCGGUAUUCGGAUCAAUGUGACAACGAAAUCUAGAACGAAAUUAUAAUAGGAGGAAUGCUGCAUCUACGGAAAAUUUCUUACCGAGUGGAUUCACGGAUUGAGACAGAGGCUCACAGUGAAAAUUAGUGGGAGUACAAGAUCCUUCGGCGUGAAAGAACCGUUUUACGGGGGCGACACAUUCUUACUAUUGUUCCUUCUUUUUUGAUAAAUAAAGGAAGAGCCUCAUAUUUCAUUUUCAGUAGGAGUACAAUCAUUACAUAAGGCCUGCUGGGCCGUCAACAACAUCGUACAAAUAGAGCUCACCAUAACACUCCAGCAUGUGUAGCAAGUUCAUGGGCGACCUGGUUGCACUCUCUUCUGACCAAGCUAGGUGUGCAGGCUUCAAAAUUGUUCACGAGGUCAUGUAUAUCUGCAUAAACUGCAAGGAGUUCAAAGAAACUAGUACUACCAGUUUCUAGGAUCAGAGGUCCCUGAUAUACAGCUUCGAAGCGAAUGUGGUGACAAGCAAAGCUGUUUCUAGCGAUGAUUGUAUGUGACGGCGAGAAAUCCAUCGCUCGUGUGGACUCUGAGAUCGCACCGUCGUGCAUCGUAUAGAAGUGUGGUUCAUUUUCCCGACUGAAUACAGGUCAAUAUGUCCUGAAAACUUUCUGACUUGUACCAGCUUGCCUAUUAAGUACAUGUGCAUUCCAUUACACUUUGAAAAACUCGCAGAAAUGAUAUUCAACCUUUAGUUCAUAAAAUCCUGAAAAGGAUCGCAGGAUGGAGUGACAAGCUGCUUUCCUAUGCUGCCAGACCGACUAUGAUUAACGUUUGUCUAGCCAGUAUUCAUAUUUAUCUUUUGUCUUUUUUAAAAUCCCCCAAGAGGGCAGUAGGUUUGGUUAAUACUCAUAUGGCCAAUUGCCUUUCUUGAAGGUCAUAGUAAAAUCUAUCUAACAAACUAGCCAUUAGUCUCCAUGAAGAAAGUUUGCUGGUUUAGGCAUCCCUAACAUACACUAGUCAAGUCUGGGAUGGAGAGACCUUGAAACAUUUGGUUUCAGCUUGAAGCCAUUACCAAAAGCAUCAUAUAUAAUGGAGAUACUAACUCGUUGGUUUGGGAAUAAAAUGUAUGAGGAACCUACUCCACUCGUUUAUUAUAUGCAAUCAUCAAUUAUAGAGGUGUCUUCCCUGUUUUCAUCCCUCUGUUUGGAAGCUUGUGGUCGCCUGUCGCCCUGCCAUCUGGCUUAACACUCUACCAAAUGUUCUUUUUUCAUUAGUUUUGUAUUUGUACUGUAAAAGCUUGUUGUCUUGUUCCUACGGUAAGAUAACUGGGAGGUCGUUCUUGUUUCUCUUUCAUUUUGUACAAGUACUAUAGGUGCUUUUGAGCUCUCUUGGAGUCUAGUUUUAAAUUCGAACACUUGUACUAGUCUUGGUGUAUCAGGCUUCUUUCACAGUAAUGGAGUCGGGGAAGUCCCUCCCUGUUGAUAUAAAAAAAAGGGGGAACAUGUGUGGGCCUUGUGGGCCACAUGGCAACGUGAGGAGGCGGCUGAUCGGCUUCCUGAUUGCAAACACUUUCCUUUUCUAUUUGGGCACAAGUGCAACAAACACUGCUAGUUGAUCCAUGACUUUUACUCGAAGCAAACAAUCAGACUUGACUUGGACUCGGAGCACAUUCAUGGUUUGUCUCAUAACCGAAUCGAAGAGGAGUACUUAACACUCACGUAUACCACUAUAAAAAGGGAAAUAGCAAUUAUGUGAUGCGGCAUGAGCCAUCUGACGGCGAUCUCGCUAGUUAUCCUCGUCCUGCUCUUCAUGCCGUGUGUAAUGGCAGUUCGCCGUUGCCAACUUCGAUGCCACCUAGAGUCAGCACCAGCCAUUGUUGGAAGGAUUUGUUUGAGUGUCAGAGAGCACCGCCUUCAACGGCCAAGCCCACGACCCUUACAGCAACAUCUCCGAUGUCUAUGUCCUCAAGUGGAACGUCGACAAAAUCGGUUGGACGACCUACGUCUACAACCCUGGCUACAACAAUGAGAUGUAGAUGUGCAGGGCGUCCAAACUCUGCCCAGAAACUGACACGAUGCACAUGUACUUGAAACUCUUGGCCCUUCCCACUGCCCAUGUAGGGUAUUUGUUUCACUCCAACAUCCUAUACUUGAUUAGGAAUAAAAGAAUGACGACAUGUUACUGAGCUAUCGAUCUUUAGCUAGCUAGCUUCACCAUUUAUAGUCGGAGUUUGCAGCUAGAUCAUACCAUUUUGGCCAUGUGGUCAUGCAUAUAUCAUCAUGUACAUCUUGUAUUGUGAUAUUUUUUUCCUUUCACUUAUGAGGCAUGAAUGGCCUUCCGCCUUAUGUGAAGUAAGCAUGUAAAAAUGAUGUGGGUGGCGGUUUCUAGGUUCGGGCUCCGCACGGACUAUGAUCUGCUGAAAUCUGAGAUGGGCUCUAGGCCCAUAUUGCAAUUUCUAAAAAAUCUCUAAGGGCCCAUGUGGGUUAUAUGGCACUAGGUGUGGUGGGAAGUUUAGUCCCACCCCGAAAGUGGAAGGAGAGUUGGAGUGGUUUAUAAGGGUUUCUCUUCUACAUGCUAUUGGAGCUUGAGAAGAGAAGAGGCCCUCGCGCACUCCUCCUCCUCCGCCCGCCUCGUCGCGACGCGGCGCGGCGCGGCGCGGGUUGCGGGAUUGAGCCGAGCCGAGCUCACACCUACGCGCUUAUUUUUGCCAGUCACUAACGGAGAGUUUUCUGACAGCUGGGCCACGAUCUGAGACGUCGGAUCGUGGGCUGUCACGGACUCGGACGUGGGUCGAGCCCACGUCUCUCCACGCGGCUGCGCCUAUAAGUAUGCGGUGUCUCCUAACCCUAGCCGCCACGAACAGAUCACAUCUGCUCACGCGCACGCCCACCAUCGUUCCUUUGCUGCUGCUGCCGCCGGUGACUCCAUCCCGUCCGCCACGUACACGGUCGACGGGAGAGCAGGUCUCCGAAACCACGCCCUUCUGGUUCCUGUACGGGGUAAGGGGCGAAUAGGUUUUUGGGCAGCGAUUACGCGACUGCUCGCUUCCGAUCGUCUACUUCCUCUACGUCCGCGUCGCCUUCAUCAUCACCAUGUCCACCGACGCCGACCGUGCCGCCGCCGAGAAAGCUGAAGCCGAUAAGAAGGUCGCCGAGGACGCCGCUGCUGCCACCAAAGCCGCGGCCUCUGCGUGGCCUACUGGAGGGUAUAACUCAUUUAUCCCGCUCCUAAUUAUUUUCAUAUUAGCAGUACUAGCAGUAUGUGUAGAUUUGUCUACUGUUUGCUUAGUACGUGCAUGUUUAGAUCAGAGUACGUCAUCAACUUAGUCAAUGCCAUGCUAGCGAUUUACUCAUAGAUUAAUUUAAUCGAGAAAUUUCCUAUUUACUCAACAAUCCAAAAACCUAUUAUGUGUAGGAAUUUCUCGGCAAGUGGCUUUGCCGCUGCACUGAAACCGGAUAAGUUUACCGGUACAUACUUCAAGCGUUGGCAGACUAAGACCACGUUAUGGCUCACGGCUAUGAACGUGUUCUGGGUCACCGGUGUCUCCACGGGAACGAUUGCUCCUGAACAGGAGAAGGCGUUCAAGGAGGCUACCGUUGUGUUUCUCGGAGCAGUUCUUAGCGUGAUCGGAGAUAAACUGGUCGACGCAUAUUUACAUGUGCAUGUCGCCAAGGACUUGUGGGAGGCGCUCGAAUCUAAAUUCGGGGCCGCCGAUGCAGGGAGCGAGAUGUAUAUUAUAGAGCAGUUCCACGAUUACAAGAUGGUUGAAAACCGUCCUGUAUUGGAGCAGGCUCAUGAGAUAAUAUGCAUUGUUAAGGAACUUGAGCUUCUCAAGUGCGAGUUACCGGGCAAGUUUGUCGCGGGCUGCAUAAUCGCUAAGCUCCCUAAUUCUUGGAGGAACUUUGCCACCACUCUGAAACAUCAGAGGCGUGAAUUCUCUGUGGAGGAUGUCAUUGGCCAUCUGAGUGUUGAGCAGAAUUCGAGGGCAAAAGACUCGCACGGAAAAGGGGCCGAAGAGACUUCUGUUGCCAACAUGGUGAACCAGAAGAACUUCAACUCCCACAAGCCCAAGGGAAAGAACGGUGUCCAACACAAUACCGACUUUAAGAAGAAGGGUAAGAAGACCUUCAAGAAGAACAAGAAGGACGAGGGCUGCUUUACUUGUGGUUCGGUUGAACAUUGGGCCAACAAGUGCCCAAACAAGUACAAGAAGUCAGGACAGGACUCCAAGUCUGUCAACAUGAUUGUGGGCAACAAUGAGAAUGGUGCAUCUGGGUACGGUAAUUUAUUUACUGUUUUUUCAGUGUUUCAACCCAACGAUUGGUGGGUGGACACAGGUGCAGGUGUUCAUGUGUGUGCUGACAUUUCAUUGUUCACUUCUUACCAGGUCACAGGUCACGGGUCCGUAUUGAUGGGGAAUGGCGCGAGUGCUUCUGUUCAUGGUGUUGGCACGGUCGAUCUGAAGUUUACUUCGGGAAGGAUCAUGCAGCUGAAGAACAUGCAGCAUGUCCCCACCAUCAAGAAGAACCUCGUUAGUGGCUCCCUUCUAUGUAGAGAAGGGUUUAAGUUGGUUUUCGAGUCUAAUAAAUUAGUUGUUACAAAAUAUGGACUCUUUGUUGGAAAAGGUUAUGAGAGCGGAGGGAUGUUCCGCCUUUCCCUCGCAGAUUUUUGUAAUAAAGUCGUGAACCAUAUUCAUUCGAAUGUUAAUGAAUCUGAAGUUUGGCAUUCACGUCUUUGUCACAUUAGUUUUGGUGUUAUGACGCAGCUAGCCAAGUUGGAUUUAAUCCCAAGUUUCACUUUAGCCAAAGGUUUUAAGUGCCUUUCAUGUGUGCAAGCUAAGCAACCUCGCAAGCCUCAUAAGGCCGCGGAGGAGAGACACCUGGCACCAUUAGAACUCAUACAUUCUGAUCUUUGCGAGAUGAAUGGUGUGUUGACUAAAGGUGGAAAGAGAUACUUCAUGACAUUGAUAGAUGAUUCCACUAGAUAUUGCUAUGUGUAUCUGUUAAAUACUAAAGAUGAGGCUCUACACUACUUUAAAAUCUAUAAGGCAGAAGUUGAAAAUCAACUUGAAAAGAAAAUUAAACGAGUCCGAUCAGAUCGUGGUGGAGAGUACUUCUUGAGUGAGUUUGAUUCCUUCUGUGCGGAACAUGACAUUAUUCAUGAGAGGACGCCUCCCUAUUCACCCCAGUCAAACGGGGUUGCCGAGCGGAAAAACCGUACUCUAACUGAUUUGGUUAACGCCAUGUUAGAUACAUCGGGUUUAUCCAAGGCAUGGUGGGGGGAGGCUAUAUUGACGGCAUGUCAUGUCCUGAAUAAAGUUCCGACAAAGGAUAGUGAGAUCACUCCCUAUGAGAAAUGGGCAAAGAGAAGGACGACACUCUCGUACUUGCGCACUUGGGGCUGUUUGGCGAAAGUCAACGUGCCGAUCCCCAAAAAGCGUAAGCUUGGACAUAAGACCGUGGACUGCAUUAAUUUGGGCUACGCUAAGAACAGCGUUGGCUAUAGAUUUCUAGUAGUGAAAUCUGAGGUACCUGACCAGAAGAUCGGUACAAUUAUGGAGUCUAAGGAUGCUACAUUCUUUGAGGAUAUUUUUCCUAUGAGAGAUAUGCAAAGCACUUCUAGACAGGAAUCUGAGGAGACUCCUGAACCUGCCAUCCCUAUGGAAUAUUAUGAACAAACACAUGAUGAAAAUCCCGAGGAGGAUGACGAGGAAACCCUUGGUAGGGGCAAGAGACAAAGGACUGCAAAGACCUUUGGUGAUGAUUUCUUCGUGUACCUCGUGGAUGAUACUCCCACUUCUAUUUCAGAAGCGUAUGCCUCUCCAGAAGCUGACUACUGGAAGGAUGCGGUCCGUAGCGAGAUGGAUUCCAUCAUGGCUAACGGGACAUGGGAGAUCACUGACCGUCCCUAUGGUUGCAAACCACUGGGAUGUAAGUGGGUGUUCAAAAAGAAGCUUAGGCCCGAUGGUACGAUUGAAAAGUACAAGGCUAGGCUUGUGGCCAAGGGCUAUGACCAGCAAGAAAAGAAAGAUUUCUUUGAUACUUAUUCACCUGUGGCUAGACUGACCACCAUUCGAGUAUUACUCUCGUUGGCGGCCUCACAUGGUCUUCUCGUCCAUCAGAUGGAUGUUAAGAUGGCUUUUCUAAAUGGAGAGCUAAAGGAGGAAAUCUACAUGCAACAGCCUGAUGGCUUUGUGAUAGAUGGUCAGGAAAGAAAGGUGUGUAGGUUGAUAAAAUCUUUAUAUGGCCUGAAACAAGCACCUAAGCAAUGGCAUGAUAAGUUUAAUACAACUCUGACAUCUGUUGGUUUCGUUGUUAAUGAGGCUGACAAAUGUGUAUACUAUCGCCAUGGUGGGGGCGAAGGAGUUAUACUGUGCUUGUAUGUUGAUGACAUACUGAUAUUCGGAACAAACCUCAAAGUCAUUGAGGAGGUCAAAUCGUUUCUAUCUCAGAACUUUGAGAUGAAAGACCUUGGUGUGGCUGAUGUUAUCUUGAACAUCAAGCUACUGAGAGAUAAUGAGGGUGGGAUCACACUUCUGCAAUCCCAUUACGUUGAGAAGGUGUUGAGUCGCUUUGGAUAUUCGGACUGCACACCAUCUCAAACACCAUAUGAUCCUAGCGUAUUGAUUCGAAAGUCCAAAGGCAUGGCUAAAGAUCAAUUGAGAUACUCUCAAAUCAUUGGUUCACUGAUGUACCUAGCGAGCGCAACGAGGCCUGACAUCGCGUUUGCUGUGAGCAAACUGAGCCGGAUUGUUUCCAAACCGGGUGAUGUACAUUGGCAUGCUGUUGAGAGAGUUAUGUGCUAUCUGAAAGGUACUAUGAACUAUGGACUUCACUAUAUCGGAUACCCGUCGGUACUUGAAGGGUAUAGUGAUGCGAAUUGGAUCUCUGAUGCUGAUGAGAUGAAGGCCACAACUGGGUAUAUGUUUACUCUUGGAGGUGGCGCUGUUUCCUGGAAGUCUUGCAAGCAAACGAUCUUAACAAGAUCGACAAUGGAAGCAGAAUUAACGGCAUUAGACACAUCUGGUGUUGAAGCGAGAUGGCUUCGAGAUCUUUUGAUGGACUUGCCAUUGGUUGAUAAACCGGUUCCGGCUAUCCUUAUGAACUGUGACAAUCAGACUGUCAUCACCAAGGUGAAGAGUUCAAAGGACAACAUGAAGUCCACCAAACACAUAAGAAUGAGAUUAAAAGCUGUCAGAAAAUUAAGAAACUCCGGAGUGAUAGUGUUGGACUAUGUCCAUACGGCUAAGAAUCUGGCAGAUCCCUUUACAAAAGGGCUAUCACGUGUUGUGAUAGAUAAUGCAUCGAGGGAUGGGUAUGAGACCCACAUGAGUUGCCAUGGUGGUAACCCAACCUAUGUGAUCGGAGAUCCCGUGAACUAGGACCUGGGAAAACAAGCCAGUGGUGAACUGAGGAGAGUAACUAUACUAACCCACUCCGUUGGAGAUGCAAUACUCUCGAUACUGUAUGGUAGGAUGACUACGGUCUCAAUGUGUUCCAAAGCUUAUAAAAGCAAGAUGCUAUCCUACAGAGCGAUCUUUGGAGGAACACACCUAUAUGAGCCCGACUGCUGGUCACAGUCUAUGAGAUUGGGGUGAUCUCUAGUAAGCUCAUGAAUAGGCCAGGAGUGUGACUUAUAUGCUCCACCCGAGGGGUCAGCCUUCGGCAGCCUAGUACUAGUAAGACAUGUAGUGAAACUUCUUUACGCCAAACUGACAAUUCAAGGCAUAGUCCAUUGUUCAGUUGUGAAGGAGUGUAGCCACUUGUUCUAGGUGAAGUUCAACCUUAACAGGUCUUUACUGAAACACUGGUAUAUCGAAACAGCAAUUGGAACAGAGGACACAAUGGGCCCUCGAGAUCUGGUGGGGGAUUGCUGAAAUCUGAGAUGGGCUCUAGGCCCAUAUUGCAAUUUCUGAAAAAUCUCUAAGGGCCCAUGUGGGUUAUAUGGCACUAGGUGUGGUGGGAAGUUUAGUCCCACCCCGGAGGUGGAAGGAGAGUUGGAGUGGUUUAUAAGGGUUUCUCUUCUACAUGCUAUUGGAGCUUGAGAAGAGAAGAGGCCCUCGCGCACUCCUCCUCCGCCGCCCGCCUCGCCACGCCACGCCUCGUCACGACGCGCCGCAGGUUGCGGGAUUGAGCCGAGCCGAGCCGAGCUCACACCUACGCGCUUAUUUUUGCCAGUCACUAACGGAGAGUUUUCUGACAGCUGGGCCACGAUCUGAGACGUCGGAUCGUGGGCUGUCACGGACUCGGACGUGGGUCGAGCCCACGUCUCUCCACGCGGCUGCGCCUAUAAGUAUGCGGUGUCUCCUAACCCUAGCCGCCACGAACAGAUCACAUCUGCUCACGCGCACGCCCACCAUCGUUCCUUUGCUGCUGCUGCCGCCGGUGACUCCAUCCCGUCCGCCACGUACACGGUCGACGGGAGAGCAGGUCUCCGAAACCAUGCCCUUCUGGUUCCUGUACGGGGUAAGGGGCGAAUAGGUUUUUGGGCAGCGAUUACGCGACUGCUCGCUUCCGAUCGUCUACUUCCUCUACGUCCGCGUCGCCUUCAUCAUCACCAUGUCCACCGACGCCGACCGUGCCGCCGCCGAGAAAGCUGAAGCCGACAAGAAGGUCGCCGAGGACGCCGCUGCUGCCACCAAAGCCGCGGCCUCUGCGUGGCCUACUGGAGGGUAUAACUCGUUUAUCCCGCUCCUGAUUAUUUUCAUAUUAGCAGUACUAGCAGUAUGUGUAGAUUUGUCUACUGUUUGCUUAGUACGUGCAUGUUUAGAUCAGAGUCAGUACGUCAUCAACUUAGUCAAUGCCAUGCUAGCGAUUUACUCAUGGAUUAAUUUAAUCGAGAAAUUGCCUAUUUACUCAACAUGAUCUGUCAAAACAGAUCCCCACUUGUGCCAGCUGCGGUUGCCUUGGCCGGUUGGCCCUGGUGGGCCGUACUGUAGGUUCCAGUUCAUAGCAGAUCAUAAUAGAACAUCACACUAUAUCCCAGAAAAGAAACUUGUUAUAACAUAGGGCACAAAACUUGGAAAUUAAUUUUUCAUGAAGAAAACAUAUAAGAGACAUUGAUUGCGUUUAUGAAAUAUGACUAAAACAUAGGAAUAUUAUUGAAAAUAGCUGAAACUUUGAAAUAAUUAAAUGUUUCUGAAACUAUUUCCAAAACAGUGUAAAAUCUCUACUUUGUUAGGUCUACAGUACUGGAGAGAGCAUCAUAAACUGACCAGAUCUGAACUCAGAGAGUCUUGGUCAUGCUGUUGCAUCACCUGCAUGUGUUUGGAUGGAUCUAUGUAGAGUAUCAAAGCCGGUGUGGAUCUCAGCUUCUACUGACUCAUUACGACGGUGAGGGAGGGUCAGGUCCCUUCUCGAUUUCCUAAGCUCAAGGUUAUCAAAGUAAUCAACCACGCACGUGACACGUAGUGCAGGAACCUAAGAGAGAAGCAUGCCAAUGAGAUUGAGUUGCCAGAGUCCUGAUUACGACUGAAAAUUCUUAGGAUGCUCCUCUGAUUUUAGGUUUUCGGAACUUCGGAUCAAUGUGACAACCAAAUCUAGAACGAAAUUAUAAUAGGAGAACGUGGAUUCACGGAUUGAGGCAGAGGCUCACGAUGAAAAUCAGUGAGAGUACAAGAUCCUUCGGCGUGAAAGAACCGUUUUACCGGGGCGACACAUUCUUACUAUUGUUCCUUCAUUUUUGAUAAAUAAAGGAAGAGCCUCAUAUUUCAUUUUCAGUAGGAGUACAAUCAUUACAUAAGGCCUGCUGGGCCGUCAACCGUAUCGUCCAAGUAGAGAUCACACCAUAACACUCCAGCAUGUGCACCAGCAAGUUCAAUGGCGUCCUGGCUGCUCUCACUUCUGACCAAGCAAGGUGUGCAGGCUGCAAAAUUGUUCACGAGGUCAUGUAUGUCUGCAUAAACUGCAAGGAGCUCAAAGAAACUAGUACUAUCAGUACUAUCAGCUAGCAGCUUCAAAGCGAGCAAAGCUAUUUCUAGCGGUGAUGGUAUGUGGCGGUGAGAAAUCCAUCGCUCUUGUGGACACUGAGGUCGUGCCGUCAGAAGUGCGUUUCAUUUUCCCGUCUGAAUACAGAUCAAUAUGUCCUGAAAAUAUGUGCACUACUCCCCACCUCCAUCCAGCUUCAGUUUUUUCGCUGCCACAAUACAGCUUCAGCUUCCUGACACCAGAGCAUGUAAUGUCACUCCUCUGCAGGAUAGCCAAGGGCGUGGUGGAAGGCCCGUCGCGGAACCUCCUGGAGUCGGUGGCGCAGUCGAUCGCCGGCACCACGCUGCUCGAGUUUCCCCAGAUCUCCGCCGUCCGGGUGAAGGUCGGGAAGCCCCACGUCGCGGUGCAGGGCGUCGUCGGCUACCUGGGUGUGGAGAUACUGAGGCGCAGAGAGGCAUGAGCACAAGAACUGAACAGAGUUAAUCUCAGUUGAGCCGGUCGAUCUCUG